This 607-nucleotide ribosomal RNA is filed under the name uncultured bacterium. RNAcentral's name for it is "bacterial SSU rRNA". It matches the Rfam family "Bacterial small subunit ribosomal RNA", at positions 331 to 929 of the family's 1533-position model. The record is from RNAcentral.
CCAGACUCCUACGGGAGGCAGCAGUAGGGAAUCUUCGGCAAUGGACGGAAGUCUGACCGAGCAACGCCGCGUGAGUGAAGAAGGUUUUCGGAUCGUAAAGCUCUGUUGUAAGAGAAGAACGAGUGUGAGAGUGGAAAGUUCACACUGUGACGGUAUCUUACCAGAAAGGGACGGCUAACUACGUGCCAGCAGCCGCGGCAAUACGUAGGUCCCGAGCGUUGUCCGGAUUUAUUGGGCGUAAAGCGAGCGCAGGCGGUUAGAUAAGUCUGAAGUUAAAGGCUGUGGCUUAACCAUAGUACGCUUUGGAAACUGUUUAACUUGAGUGCAGAAGGGGAGAGUGGAAUUCCAUGUGUAGCGGUGAAAUGCGUAGAUAUAUGGAGGAACACCGGUGGCGAAAGCGGCUCUCUGGUCUGUAACUGACGCUGAGGCUCGAAAGCGUGGGUAGCAAACAGGAUUAGAUACCCUGGUAGUCCACGCCGUAAACGAUGAGUGCUAAGUGUUGGAGGGUUUCCGCCCUUCAGUGCUGCAGUUAACGCAUUAAGCACUCCGCCUGGGGAGUACGACCGCAAGGUUGAAACUCAAAGGAAUUGACGGGGGCCCGCACAAG